UUUUAUUUAUCACAUUUUAUUCGCCAAAAGAUGUUUAUGCGAAUUGUUUUAUUGUCCAUAGCUUUGACGAUUGUUCGAGGUUUGUCGUUUUUCACGACCGGUCCGGCGCUAUUUUCGUGCAUGCAACAAAACUCAAUUGGAAUGACGGAAAUUGGAACAUUAUCGAACGGAGAUGUGCCACCCACAAAACUGUUGUGUUUCCUGAAAUGUUUCGGAGAAGCGACCGGAUUUAUUGUAAACGGCAAAGUUUUGAGCAACGAACUUUCAAAUUUACCUUUUAUUCCUACAGUUGCCGGAGAUGUUACUUUGAGAGUGCAAAAAUGUUUAGAAUCUGUGGGAAACAUUGAAAACUGUGACGAUAUGGGGGUUGUUGCUAAUUGUUUAAGCGAAUUUUUUAAACAAUAAUUUUAUUGUAUUAUUUUUAUUAAUUAAAUUAAUAAUUAAUAAAGCAUAUGGCAAGGUUUA
Molecule: long non-coding RNA, 465 nt
Organism: Aethina tumida (small hive beetle)
Lineage: Eukaryota; Metazoa; Arthropoda; Insecta; Coleoptera; Nitidulidae
Exons: 2
Source: RefSeq, a predicted model, not a curated record